ACUCAAAGGAAUUGACGGGGGCCCGCACAAGCGGCGGAGCAUGUUGCUUAAUUCGAGGCAACGCGAAGAACCUUACCUGGGUUUGACAUGCGCGGAAAAGCCGCAGAGAUGCGGUGUCCUUCGGGGUCGCGCACAGGUGGUGCAUGGCUGUCGUCAGCUCGUGUCGUGAGAUGUUGGGUUAAGUCCCGCAACGAGCGCAACCCUUUUCCUAUGUUGCCAGCGGGUAAUGCCGGGGACUCGUAGGAGACUGCCGGGGUCAACUCGGAGGAAGGUGGGGAUGAGGUCAAGUCAUCAUGCCCCUUAUGUCCAGGGCUGCAAACAUGCUACAAUGGCCGGUACAAAGGGCUGCGAUACCGCGAGGUUGAGCCAAUCCCAAAAAGCCGGUCUCAGUUCGGAUUGGAGUCUGCAACUCGACUCCAUGAAGCCGGAGUCGCUAGUAAUCCCGGAUCAGCAACGCCGGGGUGAAUACGUUCCCGGGCCUUGUACACACCGCCCGU
Molecule: ribosomal RNA, 497 nt
Filed under: uncultured bacterium
Lineage: Bacteria
Description: partial 16S ribosomal RNA
Rfam family: Bacterial small subunit ribosomal RNA
Source: RNAcentral